ACCACCUCUUACGGCGGCA
Molecule: small nuclear RNA, 19 nt
Filed under: Arabidopsis thaliana (thale cress)
Lineage: Eukaryota; Viridiplantae; Streptophyta; Magnoliopsida; Brassicales; Brassicaceae
Description: snRNA_11031
Source: RNAcentral